Molecule: long non-coding RNA, 1078 nt
Filed under: Pan troglodytes (chimpanzee)
Lineage: Eukaryota; Metazoa; Chordata; Mammalia; Primates; Hominidae
Description: long non-coding RNA NONPTRT010712
Source: RNAcentral
UGGGCACCGGUGUCUGGAUGAGGGGAACGUGGUGGCACCCAAAACUCAGAGACACCAGGAACCGCAGAGCCCCAAGGGUGUCACAGCUCAACCGUUCCCACCACCUGUGACUUGGCGAGCAGGGCGUGCUACAGCCCUGGUUCAGGGAGUCUGACGUCUGGGCUCUCGGGAAGCGCCACAGCUCUAGUUCAUUCCUGCUGCCCGCAACUUCAGCAAACGGGUCCCAAGUUCUUGUCCCACAUCCAGAAGAAUAAGGUUAUGCAGACAACCGGAGAGUGAGCAGGGCAGAAAAAACUUACUGCAGGACGGAACAGCUCCCAGUGUUGAGGGGCCCUGAGAGUGGGCAGCCACUACCUGAAGGCGAGUAGUCUCUACCCAAAGGUGGUAGUCCCUGCCGUGUGGCUGAGUCCAGGGUUUUUAUGGGCUCAGAAAGGGGGAGUGUGUGCUGAUUGGCCCAUGGGCGGGCCUAGAAAAAAAUCACCAUUUGAUUGGCUAAAAGGUCGUGGACUUAACCUGGAACUGGCAGCCUGGUUUUCCAGCUUCAGGCUGUCUUUGGCUUGAAGGUCGGGUUUCACUGGGGACCUGCCCCAGUCUGCCUAGGAAUCUGUCUUCUGCUACUAUCAGAGGGACCACGCUUCGCUUAUCCAGUCGUCAUUCACGGACCCUGCAUUGUCUCUGCCUCUUGGGCUUUGUGAAGAACACUACUGUGAACAGGGGAGUCCCCCUGCCUGUUUGGGUCCCUGCUUUCCAUUUCUUUGGGAGGUAUGUGGAGAGGAGAUUGCGGGGUCAUGUGGUCAUUCUAUUUGGCCCUCGGAGGAGCAGGCAUCCUGUUUUCCACAGCAGCUCUGCCAUCAAAUGGCACUUUCUUAGUGACACCCCCCGUAUCUCUCACCAUAAAUGUCUCUCCCCGUAAACAUUGCAACUCCUGGCUCACUUUCCUUCUCCUGUAACUUGUCACUGUGGAACUCUCAGGUGUGCCUGAGCCGACUCGCAGCAGCCCAGGAGGGCCAGCAGUGAGGCCCCUUCCCCGCUCCGUGGUCAGUGCCUUCACACAGGGAGUUUGGAGGUGGCUGUAGUG